GCAAGUCGAACGAGAAAGUGAUCUUCGGAUCGCGAGUAGAGUGGCGCACGGGUGAGUACCACGUGGAUAACCUGCCCUAUUGUCUGGGAUAACACUCCGCAAGGGGUACUAAUACCGGAUAAGCCUACACAAUCUUCGGAGCGAGUAGGAAAAGAUUUAUUGCCAUAGGAUGGGUCCGCGGUCCAUUAGCUAGUUGGUGGGGUAAUGGCCUACCAAGGCUGCGAUGGAUAGCUGGUCUGAGAGGAUGAUC
RNAcentral lists this ribosomal RNA (250 nucleotides) under uncultured bacterium. Its description in RNAcentral is "partial 16S ribosomal RNA". It matches the Rfam family "Bacterial small subunit ribosomal RNA", at positions 57 to 305 of the family's 1533-position model. The record is from RNAcentral.